Molecule: transfer RNA, 107 nt
Filed under: Coniochaeta sp. 2T2.1
Lineage: Eukaryota; Fungi; Ascomycota; Sordariomycetes; Coniochaetales; Coniochaetaceae
Rfam family: tRNA
About the family: Transfer RNA (tRNA) molecules are approximately 80 nucleotides in length. Their secondary structure includes four short double-helical elements and three loops (D, anti-codon, and T loops).
Source: Rfam by way of RNAcentral
GGGGGUGUAGCUCAUCUGGUAGAGCGCGUGCUUAGCAUCCAUCUAAGAGUUAUCAUAAGAUACAUGUUACCUGCACGAGGUACUGGGUUCGACUCCCAGCUCCUCCA